RNAcentral lists this ribosomal RNA (496 nucleotides) under uncultured bacterium. Its description in RNAcentral is "partial 16S ribosomal RNA". It matches the Rfam family "Bacterial small subunit ribosomal RNA", at positions 28 to 506 of the family's 1533-position model. The record is from RNAcentral.
GACGAACGCUGGCGGCGUGCCUAAUACAUGCAAGUUGAGCGCUGAAGGUUGGUACUUGUACCAACUGGAUGAGCAGCGAACGGGUGAGUAACGCGUGGGGAAUCUGCCUUUGAGCGGGGGACAACAUUUGGAAACGAAUGCUAAUACCGCAUAAAAACUUUAAACACAAGUUUUAAGUUUGAAAGAUGCAAUUGCAUCACUCAAAGAUGAUCCCGCGUUGUAUUAGCUAGUUGGUGAGGUAAAGGCUCACCAAGGCGAUGAUACAUAGCCGACCUGAGAGGGUGAGCGGCCACAUUGGGACUGAGACACGGCCCAAACCCCUCCGGGAGGCAACAGUGGGGAAUCUUCGGCAAUGGACGAAAGUCUGACCGGCCAACGCCGCGUGGUUGAAAAAGUUUUUCGGACCGUAAAACCCUUUUGGUAGGGAAAAACGUUGGGGAGAGGGGAAACCCAACAAAGUGCCGGUAACACCCCAAAAGAGGACGGCUAACUACGU